Pelobates cultripes (western spadefoot toad) is the source of this 224-nucleotide non-coding RNA. Lineage: Eukaryota; Metazoa; Chordata; Amphibia; Anura; Pelobatidae. The record is from the annotation of a GenBank genome assembly.
CAAUAGGGUAACCUAAGUUGGUGAGGAGGUCUUUGGCGGUUUCUUGGGCGCUACGGUAACAUCAGUCCUGCAUAGGUUGGCGGGGGAGAUUCUUUGACUCACUACACAGAUACAGAUCAGCACUGACACAUUGUUGGCUUGACCAACACUUAUAGAACUGUAUACAAGGGUUUGCGCACACGGCGGAUAGGUAUUUUUAAAUCUGUAAUAUACAAAAAACCUUC